AAUUCUGAGUUCACCCUGUAAAUCUGUACAGAAAAGAGGUCGGAAAACUAGUUUGAGAAGCUGUAUACGAACUUCCUACGCAUGCGCAAGAUUUCUACGUCGGAGCGUACAGAUUCUAUUUGUAUUACUUAGUUAUAAACCGUUUAACUGUGUUGAUAAUGUAAACUGUGCUUAUAAUUCUGGGAUCACUGCAAUUGAAGUCUUUGUGAAUAAAGAAUCGGAACUUAUCCAGCUUGUCUUUCAUUAUGGAGAGUAGUCGGAAGAUGAAGUCUUACAAUCCAAUCCUGAGAUAUACCCCACGAAUUGCAUGCCCGAAGAUCAACUGAUGCCGUAUAAAUGACAAUCGACCAUGGACAAUUCAGCGGAUCCAA
Eurytemora carolleeae is the source of this 371-nucleotide long non-coding RNA. RefSeq lists it as uncharacterized. The record is from RefSeq and is a predicted model, not a curated record. NCBI's taxonomy places the organism in Eukaryota, Metazoa, Arthropoda, Copepoda, Calanoida, Temoridae. The transcript has 3 exons.